UGCCAACUAUCAAUCCGCCAGUGAUUCUAUAAUAUCGGCGGGGGGAUCGACGGAAACGAUAGUUUGUCGGUUCCGGGGGAAGUAUGGUUGCAAAGCUGAAACUUAAAGGAAUUGACGGAAGGGCACCACCAAGAGUGGAGCUUGCGGCUUAAUUUGACUCAACACGGGAAACCUCACCCGGCCAGUACAUCAUGAGGAUUGACAGAUUGAAAGCUCUUUCAUGAUUUGAUAAAUGGUGGUGCAUGGCCGUUCUUAGUUCGUGGCGUGAGUCGUCUGCUUAAUUGCGAUAACGAGCGAGACUCCGUCUGCUAAAUACUUGCCGGAUUGUUUUGUUCGUGUAAGUGCUUAGUUGGAUUCGAGGCUGCAAGUCUUAAGAAAUGGAGCAAUAACAGGUCUGUGAUGCCCUUAGAUGUUCGGGGCCGCACGCGUGCUACAAUGAUGGUAACAGCGUGAUUGUCCUUGCCCGAGAGGGCUUGGCAAACAGUUGAGAUAUUAUUAUGGCUGGAAUUGAGUGUUGCAAUUUUCUCUCAUGAACGAGGAAUUCCAAGUAAAUGCGAGUCAUCAACUUGCAUUGAUUACGUCCCUGCCCUUUGUACACACCGCCCGUCGCUACCCAGGACUGAGUCGUUUCGAGAAAUUCACGGACCAGUUGUUGUGGCCCUGGCCAUCACGACCGGAAAGUAACUUAAUCGCGACGGUUUGAACCGGGU
Molecule: ribosomal RNA, 710 nt
Filed under: Ficophagus fleckeri
Lineage: Eukaryota; Metazoa; Nematoda; Chromadorea; Rhabditida; Aphelenchoididae
Description: SSU rRNA
Rfam family: Eukaryotic small subunit ribosomal RNA
Source: RNAcentral